This 451-nucleotide ribosomal RNA is filed under the name uncultured organism. RNAcentral's name for it is "partial 16S ribosomal RNA". It matches the Rfam family "Bacterial small subunit ribosomal RNA", at positions 329 to 797 of the family's 1533-position model. The record is from RNAcentral.
ACGUACACUCCUACGGGAGGCAACAGUGGGGAAUAUUGGACAAUGGGCGCAAGCCUGAUCCAGCCAUGCCGCGUGAGUGAUGAAGGCCCUAGGGUUGUAAAGCUCUUUCACCGGUGAAGAUAAUGACGGUAACCGGAGAAGAAGCCCCGGCUAACUUCGUGCCAGCAGCCGCGGUAAUACGAAGGGGGCUAGCGUUGUUCGGAUUUACUGGGCGUAAAGCGCACGUAGGCGGACUAUUAAGUCAGGGGUGAAAUCCCGGGGCUCAACCCCGGAACUGCCUUUGAUACUGGUAGUCUUGAGUUCGAGAGAGGUGAGUGGAAUUCCGAGUGUAGAGGUGAAAUUCGUAGAUAUUCGGAGGAACACCAGUGGCGAAGGCGGCUCACUGGCUCGAUACUGACGCUGAGGUGCGAAAGCGUGGGGAGCAAACAGGAUUAGAUACCCCAGUAGUCCC